Long non-coding RNA from Anser cygnoides (Swan goose), 1628 nucleotides. The record is from Ensembl. Lineage: Eukaryota; Metazoa; Chordata; Aves; Anseriformes; Anatidae.
GUUGGCCUCCAGGUGGCCGCGGUCUACCGGAGAGCCCAAGAUGGCCGCCGAUGAGGUCGUGGCGGCGUCCGUUGUCGCCAAGAUGGCCGACGUCGACGUCGCGGCGGUGUCUGUUGGCCCCAAGAGGGCUGCCGUCGACGUCACGGUGGUGUCCGUUGCCUCCAAGAUGGCCGACGUUGACGUCACGGCGGUGUCCGUUGCCGCCAAGAUGGCCGACGCCGCGGCGGGGGCGGGCUCUGGCUCCAAGAUGGCCGCCGAUGACGUCACGGCGGGGUCCGUUCCCUCCAAGAUGGCCGCCGAUGACGUCACGGUGGUGUCCGUUGCCCCCAAGAUGGCCGCUGAUGAUGUUGCGGUGCUCUCCAGCCCCUCAUUGGCUGGCCUCGGCUCCAAGAUGGCCGCCGCGGAGGCUGCACCAUCCUCAUUGGUCUCCGUUGGCCUCCCAUUGGCUCCUGGCUCCUCAUCGGCCUCCGUCGACGUCCCGUUGGCCUCCGUUGACUUCCUGUUGGCUCCUGGCUCCUCAUUGGCCGCCGUUGACCCCGGGCUGGCCUCCAUUGGCCUCCCGCAGCCUUCUGACGCCUCAUUGGCUGCCGGUGACCUCCCGGCGGCCUCCGCUGACCCUAAAUUGGCCUCCGUUGACCCCUCGUUGGCCUCUGUCGACCUCCCGCUGGCCUCCAUCGACCUCACGUUGGCCGCCGUUGACCCCGAGGUGGCCACCGUCGACUUCCUGUCCCUUCCUGCCACCUCAUUGGCUGCCGUUGACCCUAAACUGGCCGCCGUUGGCCUCACCUUGGCCUCCGCUGGCCCCUCGUUGGCCUCCGUCGACCUCCUGCCAGCCUCCGUCGACCUCCCGCCGGCCUCCGUUGACCUCACGUUGGCCGCCGUUGACCUCACGUUGGCCGCCAUUGACCCCAAGAUGGCCGCUGUCGACUUCCUGCCUCCUCCCGCCUCCUCAUUGGCCGCCGUUGACCCCGUACUGGCCUCUGCUGACCCCUCGUUGGCCUCCGUUGACCCUAAAUUGGCCUCCGUCGACCUCCUGAUGGCCUCCGUUGACCUCACGUUGGCCGCCGUUGACCCCAAGAUGGCCGCCGUUGACUUCCUGUCCCCUCCUGGCUCCUCAUUGGCCGCCGUUGACCCCUCGUUGGCCUCCGCUGACCCCUCGUUGGCCUCCGUCGACCUCCCGCCGGCCUCCGUUGACCUCACGUUGGCCGCCGUUGACCCCAAGAUGGCCGCCGUUGACCCCAAGAUGGCCGCCGUCCACUUCCUGUCCCCUCCCGGCUCCUCAUUGGCCGCCGCCGACCCCCCGCGGGCCUCCGCUGACCUCACCUUGACCUCCGCCGACCUCGCCUCGGCCUCCGCCGACCUCCCGCCGGCCUCCGGCGACCCCAAGAUGGCCGCCGCCGCCCCCCGGCAGCCUCCCAGCUCCUCAUUGGCCGGCUCCGCCGACCCCCCGCAGCAUCGCGGCCCCUCAUUGGCCGCCGCCUCCUCCUCCUCCGGCCUCCCGCGGCCUCCCGGGGCCUCGCCGGCCUCCCCUGCCCGGGCCGGAGCCCCCUGAUUGGGCGCCGCCCGCGGCCCCGCCGCCACCCCAUUGGCCAGCGGCCUCCGCGGGGGGCCGGCGGCCAUCUUGGGCC